GAUCAUGGCUCAGGAUGAACGCUGGCGGCGUGCCUAACACAUGCAAGUCGAACGAAGCACAUACGACGGAACUCUUCGGAGGGAAGAUGUAUGUGACUGAGUGGCGGACGGGUGAGUAACGCGUGGGUAACCUGCCCUAUACAGGGGGACAACAGUUGGAAACGACUGCUAAUACCGCAUAAGCGCACAGUACCGCAUGGUACAGAGCGAAAAAACUCCGGUGGUAUAGGAUGGGCCCGCGUCUGAUUAGUUAGUUGGCGGUGUAACGGACCACCAAGACGACGAUCAGUAGCCGGCUUGAGAGAGUGAACGGCCACAUUGGGACUGAGACACGGCCCAAACUCCUACGGGAGGCAGCAGUGGGGAAUAUUGCACAAUGGGGGAAACCCUGAUGCAGCAACGCCGCGUGAGUGAAGAAGUAUUUCGGUAUGUAAAGCUCUAUCAGCAGGGAAGAAAAUGACGGUACCUGACUAAGAAGCCCCGGCUAACUACGUG
RNAcentral lists this ribosomal RNA (495 nucleotides) under uncultured bacterium. RNAcentral's name for it is "bacterial SSU rRNA". It matches the Rfam family "Bacterial small subunit ribosomal RNA", at positions 15 to 507 of the family's 1533-position model. The record is from RNAcentral.